RNAcentral lists this ribosomal RNA (448 nucleotides) under uncultured bacterium. RNAcentral's name for it is "SSU rRNA". It matches the Rfam family "Bacterial small subunit ribosomal RNA", at positions 26 to 518 of the family's 1533-position model. The record is from RNAcentral.
AGAACGAACGCUGGCGGCAGGCCUCAAACAUGCAAGUCUAGGGGGCGUAGCAAUACGUCACCGGCGGACGGGUGCGUAACACGUGGGAAUGUACUUACUGGUUCGGAACAACUCAGGGAAACUUGAGCUAAUACCGAAUGUGCCCGAAAGGGGAAAGAUUUAUCGCCAGUAAAUCAGCCCGCGUCCGAUUAGCUAGUUGGUGGGGUAAAGGCCCACCAAGGCGACGAUCGGUAGCUGUUCUGAGAGGAAGAUCAGCCACACUGGGACUGAGACACGGCCCCAGACUCCUACGGGAGGCAGCAGUUGGGAAUCUUGGACAAUGGGGGAAACCCUGAUCCAGCCAUGCCGCGUGAGUGAUGAAGGCCUUCGGGUUGUAAACUCUUUCGACGGGGACGAUAAUGACGGUACCCGUAGAAGAAGCUCCGGCUAACUUCGUGCCAGCAGCCGC